UGGGCUUGACAUGUGGGUCAUACCCGUGUUUCCACGGGUAUGACCCACAUGUCAAGCCCAGGUAAGGUUCUUCGCGUUGCGUCGAAUUAAACCACAUGCUCCGCUGCUUGUGCGGGCCCCCGUCAAUUCCUUUGAGUUUUAGCCUUGCGGCCGUACUCCCCAGGCGGGGCACUUAAUGCGUUAGCUUCGGCACGGAGGGAGUCGACACCCCCCACACCUAGUGCCCAUCGUUUACAGCGUGGACUAC
This 247-nucleotide unclassified non-coding RNA is filed under the name uncultured Solirubrobacteraceae bacterium. RNAcentral's name for it is "contains 16S-23S intergenic spacer region". The record is from RNAcentral. Lineage: Bacteria; Bacillati; Actinomycetota; Thermoleophilia; Solirubrobacterales; Solirubrobacteraceae.